GCAAACUCAAAGGAAGUUGACGGGGGCCCGCACAAAGCGGUGGAGCAUGUGGUUAAUUCGAUGAUACGCGAGGAACCUUACCUGGGCUCAAAUGUAUGUUUGACCGUAUUCUGAAAGGGAUACUUCUUCGGACAAUAUACAAGGUGCUGCAUGGUUGUCGUCAGCUCGUGCCGUGAGGUGUCGGGUAAGUCCCAUAACGAGCGCAACCCCUAUCAUUAGUUGCCAUCAGGUCAAGCUGGGGACUCUAAUGAAACUGCCUACGCAAGUAGUGAGGAAGGUGGGGAUGACGUCAAAUCAGCACGGCCCUUACGUCCAGGGCUACACACGUGCUACAAUGGCCGGUACAAAGGGCAGCUACCUGGUGACAGGAUGCUAAUCUCAAAAGCCGGUCUCAGUUCGGAUCGGAGUCUGCAACCCGACUCCGUGAAGCUGGAAUCGCUAGUAAUCGCGCAUCAGCCAUGGCGCGGUGAAUACGUUCCCGGGCCUU
Molecule: ribosomal RNA, 487 nt
Filed under: uncultured Sphingobacteriales bacterium
Lineage: Bacteria; Pseudomonadati; Bacteroidota; Sphingobacteriia; Sphingobacteriales
Description: bacterial SSU rRNA
Rfam family: Bacterial small subunit ribosomal RNA
Source: RNAcentral